RNAcentral lists this ribosomal RNA (461 nucleotides) under uncultured bacterium. Its description in RNAcentral is "bacterial SSU rRNA". It matches the Rfam family "Bacterial small subunit ribosomal RNA", at positions 28 to 507 of the family's 1533-position model. The record is from RNAcentral.
GAUGAACGCUGGCGGCGUGCCUAAUACAUGCAAGUCGAACGGAGAUUGUAGCAAUACGGUCUUAGUGGCGAACGGGUGAGUAACGCGUUGGUAACCUGCCCCGAAGCGUGGGAUAACGGUCCGAAAGGACCACUAAUACCACAUGUGAUCCCGAGGAAUAGAUACUUGGGAUGAAAGGAGCAAUUCGCUUCGGGAGGGACCUGCGUCCCAUCAGCUAGUUGGUAGGGUAACGGCCUACCAAGGCGAUGACGGGUAGGGGACCUGAGAGGGUGGCCCCCCACAAUGGAACUGAAACACGGUCCAUACACCUACGGGUGGCAGCAGUAGGGAAUAUUGGUUAAUGUGCGAAAGCGCGAACCAGCAACGCCGCGUGUGCGAUGAAGGCCUUCGGGUCGUAAAGCACUUUUUGUCAGGGAAGAGGAAGGACGGUACCUGCAGAAUAAGUCUCGGCUAACUACGUG